This 1925-nucleotide long non-coding RNA is filed under the name Equus asinus (donkey). Its description in RNAcentral is "lncRNA (ENSEASG00005033166.1)". The record is from RNAcentral. Lineage: Eukaryota; Metazoa; Chordata; Mammalia; Perissodactyla; Equidae.
GCUCGCCCCGCCCCGCGAGCCCGGUGGACCUGGGGCGGCGCGGGUGCCCGCGGUCCCGGGGCCGCGCGAGGAGGGCGGGGGCGCCCGCGGCCUAAGAGCUCAGCUUGAGAAGAGGACGUGCUCAGUUUCCACGUCGUGGCAAUAAAAGUAUCGCUUACCCCGCGCCCGGAGUGGUACCAAGCACUUUCCACCAAGGGUUCACAAAUUUACCGAAUCGCGUCUCUCUGCGGCUCAGCUGGAAAAUGGGAAUAGAGAGGCGACCUCCUGGGACUGCAGCAAAUGCCAUCGGGAAGGGCGUGGGCUCCGUAAACCGAGGCGCGGAACACACGCUUGCUAAAUUUAUUCCCAUCCUCUACACGUGGGGUGACAACUUCACUCUUGCCGCCCAGACACACACACACACACACACACACACACACACACACACACUAUUCCCAAUGUGCAGAUGAAGAAAUAAGACUCGGGGACGUUCCUGGCUGAGGCAGUUUUGAAGCAUGGUUCUCAACUCAAGAUUCAUUCAUUCAAUACUUAUUAAAAGUACCUACUGUGUGUCGGGCUCUGUUCCAAGCAUUGGGGCAUUCAGUGGUGAACACGAUGGACUGUUCCAGAACAGUGGUCCUCGGUUUGACAAGGGCAAACCCAAAGGGAGAAGAGACCUGCAUUAUUAACAGACGCCUCUCAAGCACCUGGCCCCACACACAGCAUCCCGUCAAAUCCACCGCCACCCAACAACCGCCUGAGGCUGGUGCUGUUAUCAGGAAACUGGGCACAGAGAGUGUCAGUAGCUUUCCCGAGGCCACACAGCUCCUGAAUGGAGGAACUGGGAUCUGAACUCAUGCUCUCGCCCACUUGGCUGCUAGCUUGUGUAGCAGUAAAGCUCGGGGAGCUAACCAGAUGGUCCAGCAGAAGGAGCACCAUCUUUGCAUCUCAACGGAUGAGUUUGAAACUUCACUCCAUCAAGCAGCAGCUGUGUGCCUUUGCUCGAGUCCCCCGACCUCUCUGAGCUACAACUGCCUCCCAGGCAGGAGUUAAGUCAUGGAGAGUUUGAGACGGAGAAGGUCCUUCUGGUCAUAAUGAGGCCCGACCCGGAAAAAGGAGCACGUGGGCCAGGUCGGGACACCCUGGAGAGACUCCAGCCCCCUCUCACUCACUCGCUCGCUCAGAACCAAGUUGUUUUCAUUGGAGUCUCCUGAGCUGGACAUCAAGAGCCAAGACUGGGGAGUUCCAGUUUCUCGUUUGUUCCCACCACACCCAUCCAGCGGCUGCAGAAUGUCACUGAGACUCAGCCUGGCAGCAAAGACCACUAACUACUGGAGUCAGGAGACCUGGAGGGACCGUCCUGUGAUGGGCAUGGCUUAGACAGGGGCGCCAAAAGGACGGGAAAGAUGGCGACCGCCCUGAGUGGACAGAUACACCGCCCUCAAAUCCUCAGCUGGGCGUCUGCUUCUGGGAACCCAAACGAGGACAAGGACCCUGAAGUUUGGGGACAGGGACCCAGGAGUCACAUUAUUCUCUUAGGACACCUGUGCAUUCGUUCAUCCAGCCCCUGAAUAUUGACUGAGUAUCUACUCCGUGCCAGGGGGUGUGCUGACAAAUAUAGGAGAGAAAUAGGAAAAACCCGACAGUCUGAACAGCCAUAUAAAGAGAGAAGGGCUUUUUACAAGGAGAGUCUGGGAAGCCAAAGGCUGACUGUGGUAUUAUUUCACUGUAUAAAAACUAUGACUCACGGAGGAAAAGGGAACACGGAAUCCCAGAAUACGAUGGGCACCCCCUUUAAAAUCUGAGAGAGGUAGUUUAGGGCAAAUUAAAGGAAUUCUUCAUCCAACAGUGAAUAGCAAAUUUAUUCACCUCCAGUUACCCCACAAGAAGUAAUACAAGCAGAAAAUGUAAAUAGAUUUUUAAAAAUAAAUGAAUGCUGGAGUUCA